RNAcentral lists this long non-coding RNA (487 nucleotides) under Rhinopithecus bieti (black snub-nosed monkey). RNAcentral describes it as "lncRNA (ENSRBIG00000045453.1)". The record is from RNAcentral. Lineage: Eukaryota; Metazoa; Chordata; Mammalia; Primates; Cercopithecidae.
GGGGCAGUGAGUUCUCAUCAAGAGCCAGUGGACUCUCAUCCAUCUCUUCUGCCUAAAACAUUAGGAUCCUAAUUAUGAGGCCUCUACAAAGUGAAUUCCACUCAAGAACACAGGUAAUGGAGAUGGAGAAGCUAUUUUCUUUUUCAUGGUAUACAACGAAUUUGAUCAUUCCAUUGCCACUUGACACUGUCAGGAAUCCAGCUGAGAGGUGGAAAAAUCCAUUCCUGACUGCAAUGGUGAAGUGGAUGCAUGGAAUACCCAGCAAGGUCCUGGCAGACAAGGUCUUGUUGGCCCUGAUAAAUUGAUGAUGGUGGCAGGAGGACUCACUCCCUCCACAGGUCCUGGAUAAGCCAGAGCAUGCAGUGGCAGACAAAAGAAGGUGAAACCAGCAUGUAUGUGCCUCUCAUAAGUGCUUUCCCUAUGUUCAUAAAUUGUCAUUUAAUUUGAAUAACAACCAAUUAAAAAAUGAUUGUGAAGCCAUUAAACA